Sphaerodactylus townsendi is the source of this 1261-nucleotide long non-coding RNA. RefSeq lists it as uncharacterized. The transcript is spliced from 2 exons. The record is from RefSeq and is a predicted model, not a curated record. NCBI's taxonomy places the organism in Eukaryota, Metazoa, Chordata, Lepidosauria, Squamata, Sphaerodactylidae.
UGGGAACUACACUUCCCAGGAGACCUUGAGGCUUGCAAGGUCUCCUGGGAAGUGUUGUUCCCACCAGGUCAUUUUUCAGCCGCAAGUGAACAGGUCGCUUUUCCAGCCUGCGCUUUCAGGCCGAACUAAGGGGGAGGGAGCCGCGGGGGGCGGGGGCGGGGGGGCAGGCAAUUUUCCGCCAACCAGGCACACGCCCAGUGCAAUUGUGUGCAUGCACACGCACACGACCACGGUAGCUCUGCUUCUGCUCUGUAGGCUGGCUCCUGUUUUAAGGUAUGUCUGGACUCUCCCUGACACAUCCACACCUACACUUUAUGGAAGUUGAGACAGACCUCCUGCAGCAGAACAUGACUCCGCUACGAUGCAAGAUUCUCCGUUUAAAGGACACCUAGGAAGGAGAGAAGUCCGUUGUGUGAUCAUGGCAGUGCUACAGCUCAGAGAGUUGCGGGACCAGCAGAGGAUCAGUCGUGGGGCGUUCCAACAUGGUGACGCUGAGACGGUUGGACGCUACGACACUGAACGUUGUCAAGCUAUACAGUCCCUGGGGAUUUGUCUCAGUCUGAAUGGAUCUGAAGGAAGGAUUCCCUCCCCAACUUUUCCUGGAUAGGAAACAGAGCCACAGCAAAGCAGAACGGGACUUUCUUUGAAAUAGGAUUUUGCAUAAAACCAGUCCCUCGGCUGGAAUCCGUACGGUACGACGUACACAGUCCGGCAGCUGUUUGUUCUGUAACUAUAUUGCAGCCUUUUGGAGCCUGUGGACACAUCUGGAAUUCUGACACGGCAUGGUGGCCGCAACCACCAAAUGGCUGCCACGGGAGGCAAACGUGGCCACCAAAUAUCCACUGCCGCUUCCCUUCAGUCACACUGUGGAGAUCUUCAUGCUAUAGUGCUGGCUGCUUCCAGUAUUUUUAAAAAAAUCUACGCAGCUAAUCAAACCUCCAACGGUCUUGCUAUUCAAAAGCCCACCUUGUCUCAUCUACCUUCCGGAGGGCCAUAGGUUGGACACCCCUGCCCUUGUGACAGCCAGGAUUAUUCAUAUCCUGCACCGUUCUCCUGGCCCCCAAAUAAAAAGUCUGCUCUGGAGAAAAUCAAGUCCUGACCCCAGAAUAAACGAUAUGAUUAAUACACGAAGGCAAACGUAUUUAUUUUGCAUGACUCUAAUUAGUUUGCUAGUUGGUGGCGUUCCUUUAACCAUCCUGAAAUCCUCUGGCUAGCAAACACUCUGCCUCUCUCAAAAUAAAGGAUGCCAAUGUAUAAUUUA